GAUGAAGAACGUAGCGAAAUGCCAUAAGUAAUGUGAAUUGCAGAAUUCAGUGAAUCAUCGAAUCUUUGAACGCACAUUGCGCCCGUCAGUAUUCUGGCGGGCAUGCCUGUUCGAGCGUCAUUACGCCCCUCAAGUCCCCUGUGGACUUGGUGUUGGGGAUCGGCGAGGCUGGUUUUCCAGCACAGCCGUCCCUUAAAUUAAUUGGCGGUCUCGCCGUGGCCCUCCUCUGCGCAGUAGUAAAACACUCGCAACAGGAGCCCGGCGCGGUCCACUGCCGUAAAACCCCCCAACUUUUUAUAGUUGACCUCGAAUCAGGUAGGACUACCCGCUGAACUUAAGCAUAUCAAUAAGCGGAGGA
RNAcentral lists this unclassified non-coding RNA (358 nucleotides) under soil metagenome. RNAcentral's name for it is "partial contains 5.8S ribosomal RNA, internal transcribed spacer 2, and large subunit ribosomal RNA". The stretch from base 1 to 120 matches the Rfam family "5.8S ribosomal RNA", at positions 35 to 154 of the family's 154-position model. The record is from RNAcentral.